This 253-nucleotide ribosomal RNA is filed under the name uncultured bacterium. RNAcentral's name for it is "partial 16S ribosomal RNA". It matches the Rfam family "Bacterial small subunit ribosomal RNA", at positions 524 to 776 of the family's 1533-position model. The record is from RNAcentral.
UACGAGGGGUGCAAGCGUUGCUCGGAAUUAUUGGGCGUAAAGGGUAGGUAGGUGGUCUCAUUUGUCUGGGGUGAAAGCCUUGAGCUUAACUCAAGAAGUGCCCCGGAAACGGUGAGACUGGAGUCUCGGAGAGGGUCGUGGAAUUCACGGUGUAGCGGUGAAAUGCGUAGAUAUCGUGGAGAACACCCGUGGCGAAGGCGGGCUUCUGGCUAAUGACUGACGCUGAGGUGCGAAAGCUAGGGGAGCGAACGGG